AGCGAACGCUGGCGGCAGGCCUAACACAUGCAAGUCGAACGAACUCUUCGGAGUUAGUGGCGGACGGGUGAGUAACACGUGGGAACGUGCCUUUUGGUUCGGAAUAACUCAGGGAAACUUGUGCUAAUACCGAAUGUGCCCUUCGGGGGAAAGAUUUAUCGCCAUUAGAGCGGCCCGCGUCUGAUUAGCUAGUUGGUGAGGUAACGGCUCACCAAGGCGACGAUCAGUAGCUGGUCUGAGAGGAUGACCAGCCACACUGGGACUGAGACACGGCCCAGACUCCUACGGGAGGCAGCAGUGGGGAAUCUUGCGCAAUGGGCGAAAGCCUGACGCAGCCAUGCCGCCUGAAUGACGAAGGUCUUAGGAUUGUAAAAUUCUUUCACCGGGGACGAUAAUGACGGUACCCGGAGAAGAAGCCCCGGCUAACUUCGUG
This 433-nucleotide ribosomal RNA is filed under the name uncultured bacterium. RNAcentral's name for it is "partial 16S ribosomal RNA". It matches the Rfam family "Bacterial small subunit ribosomal RNA", at positions 29 to 507 of the family's 1533-position model. The record is from RNAcentral.